Molecule: non-coding RNA, 91 nt
Organism: Podospora conica
Lineage: Eukaryota; Fungi; Ascomycota; Sordariomycetes; Sordariales; Podosporaceae
Source: the annotation of a GenBank genome assembly
GGCACUUUGGCGGAGUGGUUAACGCGCUGCCCUGCUAUCAGCUGAUCAGGCAGUUCCUUCGGGAGCGCAGGUUCGAAUCCUGCAGGUGUCG